Molecule: ribosomal RNA, 388 nt
Filed under: uncultured Bacillota bacterium
Lineage: Bacteria; Bacillati; Bacillota
Description: bacterial SSU rRNA
Rfam family: Bacterial small subunit ribosomal RNA
Source: RNAcentral
GGAUCCAGACUUUGAUCCUGGCUCAGGACGAACGCUGGCGGCGUGCCUAACACAUGCAAGUCGAACGAAACUUCUUUAAAGGAUUUCUUCGGAAUGAAUUUGAUUAAGUUUAGUGGCGGACGGGUGAGUAACGCGUGAGUAACCUGCCUCUAAGAGGGGAAUAACAUUCUGAAAAGAAUGCUAAUACCGCAUAACAUAUAUUUAUCGCAUGGUAGAUAUAUCAAAGAUUUAUCGCUUAGAGAUGGACUCGCGUCCGAUUAGUUAGUUGGUGAGGUAACGGCUCACCAAGACCGCGAUCGGUAGCCGGACUGAGAGGUUGAACGGCCACAUUGGGACUGAGACACGGCCCAGACUCCUACGGGAGGCAGCAGUGGGGGAUAUUGCGCAA